AUUGAACGCUGGCGGCAGGCUUAACACAUGCAAGUCGAGCGGGGGGAGGUAGCUUGCUACUGGACCUAGCGGCGGACGGGUGAGUAAUGCUUAGGAAUCUGCCUAUUAGUGGGGGACAACAUUCCGAAAGGAAUGCUAAUACCGCAUACGCCCUACGGGGGAAAGCAGGGGAUCUUCGGACCUUGCGCUAAUAGAUGAGCCUAAGUCGGAUUAGCUAGUUGGUGGGGUAAAGGCCUACCAAGGCGACGAUCUGUAGCGGGUGUGAGAGGAUGGUCCGCCACACUGGGACUGAGACACGGCCCAGACUCCUACGGGAGGCAGCAGUGGGGAAUAUUGGACAAUGGGCGGAAGCCUGAUCCAGCCAUGCCGCGUGUGUGAAGAAGGCCUUUUGGUUGUAAAGCACUUUAAGCGAGGAGGAGGCUCUUAAGGUUAAUACCCUUGAUGAGUGGACGUUACUCGCAGAAUAAGCACCGGCUAACUCUGUGCCAGCAGCCGCCGUAA
RNAcentral lists this ribosomal RNA (501 nucleotides) under uncultured bacterium. RNAcentral's name for it is "partial 16S ribosomal RNA". It matches the Rfam family "Bacterial small subunit ribosomal RNA", at positions 30 to 523 of the family's 1533-position model. The record is from RNAcentral.